CCUCCCGAAGCUUAAGCUACCUACUUCUUUUGCAACCCACUCCCAUGGUGUGACGGGCGGUGUGUACAAGGCCCGGGAACGUAUUCACCGUGGCAUUCUGAUCCACGAUUACUAGCGAUUCCGACUUCAUGGAGUCGAGUUGCAGACUCCAAUCCGGACUACGACGCACUUUAUGAGGUCCGCUUGCUCUCGCGAGGUCGCUUCUCUUUGUAUGCGCCAUUGUAGCACGUGUGUAGCCCUGGUCGUAAGGGCCAUGAUGACUUGACGUCAUCCCCACCUUCCUCCAGUUUAUCACUGGCAGUCUCCUUUGAGUUCCCGGCCGGACCGCUGGCAACAAAGGAUAAGGGUUGCGCUCGUUGCGGGACUUAACCCAACAUUUCACAACACGAGCUGACGACAGCCAUGCAGCACCUGUCUCACGGUUCCCGAAGGCACAUUCUCAUCUCUGAAAACUUCCGUGGAUGUCAAGACCAGGUAAGGUUCUUCGCGUUGCAUCGAAUUAAACCACAUGCUCCACCGCUUGUGCGGGCCCCCGUCAAUUCAUUGAGUUUUAACCUGGCGGCCGUACUCCCCAG
This 575-nucleotide ribosomal RNA is filed under the name Escherichia coli. Its description in RNAcentral is "partial 16S ribosomal RNA". Lineage: Bacteria; Pseudomonadati; Pseudomonadota; Gammaproteobacteria; Enterobacterales; Enterobacteriaceae. The record is from RNAcentral.